UUUAGGGUGUAGGAUUUAUGU
RNAcentral lists this non-coding RNA (21 nucleotides) under Arabidopsis thaliana (thale cress). The record is from RNAcentral. Lineage: Eukaryota; Viridiplantae; Streptophyta; Magnoliopsida; Brassicales; Brassicaceae.